GACUGUAUAGUGCAGUUGGAUUAGCAUGCCUGACUUUGGAUCAGAAGGUUGUGGGUUCUACUCCCAUUGUGGUCA
Non-coding RNA from Cucurbita maxima (winter squash), 75 nucleotides. Lineage: Eukaryota; Viridiplantae; Streptophyta; Magnoliopsida; Cucurbitales; Cucurbitaceae. The record is from the annotation of a RefSeq genome assembly.